Long non-coding RNA from Octopus sinensis (East Asian common octopus), 745 nucleotides. RefSeq lists it as uncharacterized. NCBI's taxonomy places the organism in Eukaryota, Metazoa, Mollusca, Cephalopoda, Octopoda, Octopodidae. The record is from RefSeq and is a predicted model, not a curated record. The transcript has 4 exons.
UAGUGUUUGUGACUGUAAGCAGCUAUUCACACGAAGUUUUUCCUUUACCUCCCGUUGUUGUCAUUUAGUCCCAGUUGAAAUAUUCUUCACGCAGUCCACCGAUCUAAUGCGUUCCACGCGUGACUAUCCGGUCUUGUUAUGACUACAUAGAGCUACAUCAGCCGAUGUUUUUCUCCUUUUUUUUUCUUCUUUCUAUCGUUUAUUAUGGUAGGCUGUGAUUUGGAUAAAAGGAAAAAAAAAAUAACAACUAUUUCGAACGACUAUACAGAGACUCUCUUGCAGACCCAUAAAGUCAUCGCAUAUUUUUAAUGGCAUGGGAACAUGCAACACCAGGAAACUAGCGGCAGCAAAUGGAUGGAACUUAAGAUUCUAAAAGUUCGUCUGCACUUCGAGUAAACAAAGAACCACGUUGGCUAGGAACAAGUACAGAACUAUUCGUAUAUCAGUACAAUAAUUAAGUUGAUAGAGAGAGUCAGGAAUGUGUUGAGAUCCAAUUACACCUAAACUACCAAAGCCUCUAUGCCAUUGCUGACUUGUGCUGAUAUGCAAAAGUAACACGGAUUUUCUAUAACUAUUUGUGCCAUCCUCAAAGAAAUUCGAACACAGUAUUUUGUACAAGCGAAAUGGGUGUACGGCGUGAGGAACCAACAAAAGAAACCGUUACAUUUUCCGGCCAUGUCACUCCAGGAUGAGUUAUCAGUAAAGAGGCGUCACCCAUGAGCAUUACAGGUCAUUCUUUUUGUGU